UCAUGGAGACAAUAAAAAUUCAGAUUUUUUUCUAGAUACAUAAAGCAUUAAUUUAAUUUUUUAAAAAGAUCUGUCUCUCAGAGGCCUGCACUAAGUCCUUUGAUGUUAGGUAGCAGGUGAAAGUCCCCAGACCUGCAAGGUUUGAGUAUCAUUUGAAAGCAAGACCACUUAGCUAAACUCCCACUCUGUGUGAAGCCACCAAAUUGGACAGAACUGCUCAAAACAUAGAAUUUCAAAAAUCUAAUAAAAAUGAAACGAAAGCAGUCAAGUAUAGAAGAAAAAAAGCAAUCAAGUCAAGAGGCAGGCAUGGAGAGGCUCCUUUCUAUUUGUUUCUGAUAGGGCCAGAGGGGCUCAUUGCAUUUCCCUCUGUUCUUGAUGGCCAGACCCUCGUGGCAUCAGAGAUGAACUCUCCUUUUCUAUUAAUGACUAUGGGAAUGCUGGCUGUGCAGAGAGGUCUCUCUGGUACCUUCCCCCACCCAGAAUAUUCUGCUAUCCUCUUGGUUUCAGCUCGGACUGACCUGGAAGAAGACCCUGAGGAGAACCCGGGCACACAGCAGCCAUUCCAGUCCUCAGCUUCAAGGGGGCUCACGAAGGUUGUGGAUCCUUGCCCAGCCUGCAGUGGGGACCUGGUGUGGCAUUGAGUGGCUGUGAGUGCUCAGUGUCCCCCAUCUCAUGCUAAGCACAGCGAAGUAGGGGGAGAUUGCGUAGUGUGCUGAUGGAGCAGUUGCCUCCACCUGGCUGCGUGUCCCUCCGUCAUGUGACAGAAAAGAAGAAGGCAAUGGUGUUUUUCUGUAGCAAGUCACUAUUUAUGGAAGAGGAGACCCUUUAUCUGCAUCGCAAUUCUGAAGAUUCCACUUUGUUCCAGUCAUUGUUGUGGGCACACUUUCAACAUUUGAUUAAGAGCCAUAAGGGUGGCUUCCUCCACCCACAGAAAAAUUCCUCUAAGGAAUCAUGAGACCGUCGACAUUUAGCAGCUGUUUAAAAGACUGUUUAGACUCCUGGGAUGAUGAUGGGGAAUUCCUGGAAUUAUGGUCUUGGGCAAGAAGGGAACUCAAGUAGGAAAGUCAGCAAUCUAAAUUUCAAACCUCAGGGAACCUUCUUUGUAUAACCUGAUAAUCUCCUUCGCUCAACACAGUGCUUGCUGAGUGAAGGAGUGUAAUGGAAAAGAAAGUUAAUAAUCCCUUGUGCUCUGGAUCAAAAAUGAGGUAGGAGACCAAAUUUUCCAUCAAACUGGUUGGGUCCAAUCACUUAAUGCAAAAUGCUUACUUCAGGGUCUGUAGCACUUGUUGAUCAAUGUACCUAACAGGUCUUAAUAGAGAAAGUGAUCAAUUCAAGCAGUGUCUUCCCAAAUUCUAUAUAUAUAUAACAGAUAUUGCUGCAUAACAAACCAGACAACGCUUAAUAGUUUAAGGCAACCGUUUUAUUAUUCCCCAGAGUUCUAUGCGUGGACCAAGGUCACUUGGGCCCUAGUCUUGUGAUGUCACUUGGACCACAGUCAUUGGGAGGUUCACCAGGUGGAAGCCUCCAUGACAGCUCAAUCCCAUAGCUGCCAGUGGGUACGGCACCUACACGUGGCUGCUUGUAUGGCCUGGGAUUUUCACAGCACAGCAGCAGGGGCUGAGAGGCAGAGUCCUAGGAGUGAUUGUCCCCAGAGAGCAGAAGCAAAAGCUCUCAUCAGUCUUCUAAGAGGCUGAGCUGACAAUGGGCACAGCACCACUCUGCCAUCAUCUAUGGCUUAAGCAUUCACAGGGCCAGGCUAAAUUCAGGCUGUCGGAAGAUAAACUCCACCUCUCAAUGGAGAGAGUUCAAAGCAACUGUGGCCAUCUUUACCCCAUCAGCUUUCUUGCCAAGAAAUAAAGCUCUACAUGACACAUCAACUUUCAUUUAUUUAACAUUUAUCUCAAAAGACAUGAGUUAACUGGCAAAUAAUAUCACAUUCAUAGUAAAAGUCUAAGAAAUUAACAUCCUAUACUUAUUGGGCAUUGUUUACUUUCUAUAUGUUUUUGUUUUGUUUUUUGAGACAGUCUCACUCUUGUCGCCCAGGCUGGAAUGCAGAGGUGCAAUCUCAGCUCAUUGCUACCUCCACCUCCCACAUUCAGGCAAUUCUCGUGCCUCAGCCUCCCGAGUAGCUGGGAUUACAGGUGUGCACCAACACACCCAGCUAAUUUUUAUAUUUUUAAUAGAGACAGGUUUUGCCAUGUGGGCCAGGCUGGUCUUGAACUUCUGGGGUUAAGUGAUCUGCUGUCUCGGCCACCCGAAGUACUGGGAUUACAGGUGUGAACCACUGUGCCUGGCCUAUAUGGUAUUCUUAAACCCCUUGGUUGAGCUUUGGCCAUGGAGACUUGGAACAGAAUGUUAGGAGCUUUACAGGCCACAAGGACAGGUUGGUUUUCUGGGUUCCUGGGCACACAGCCUAACUCAGAAGAAAAUAAGAAACAAACAUGAGAAAAACAAGCCAGAAAAACCUGAUUCACAGGAGGCGUGUCACUGAGUUGUACUUAGUUUAUAUAAAGCAAUGGUUCUCUUCAAACUCUUAGUCUCAGGACUCCUUUAUGUUCUCAAAAACUGAGGAUCUGGCUGAGCGAGGUGGCGCACACCUGUUCUCCCAGCACUUUAGGAGGCCAAGGCGGGUGGAUCACUUGAGGUCUGGAGUUUGAGACCAGCCUGGCUAACAUGGCAAAAAACCAUCUCUACUAUAAAUACGAAAAUUAGCAGGGUGAUCAUGGCUCACGCCUGUAGUCCCAGCUACUCAGGAAGCUAAGGCUGGAGAAUCGCUUGAGCCCGGAGGUUGAGGCCACACUGAGCCAAGAUUACGCCACUGCACUCCAUCCUGGGUGACAGAGUAAGACCCUGUCUCAAAAAAAAAAAAAAAAAAAAGAAAGAAAGAAAAAACCUGAGGAUCCUAUGCAGCUUUUGUUUCUGAUGGACUAGUUCUACUAAUAUUUACAAUACUAGAAAUUAAAAUUGAGAAGUUUCAAAAAUACAUAUUCACUUUAAAAGCACAAUAAAAAUUCCAUUACAUAAAUUCCAUAUUGUUAUGAAAGUAUCUAUAUUUUCCAAAGCCCCAAAGACAAUGAGUAGGAACGACAGUGUUUUGGUGUUUUGCAAAUCUCCCUGGCGUCAGGGUUAAUGGAAGACAGCUGGGCUGUCCUUAUCUGUUCUUACAUUUAGGCUGAAUUUGUUACAAUGUGUUGCCAUGGCUGAAGUAGAGGAAGAAUGUCUGGCCUCACAGAAGUAUGGAAGUGUAAAAAGGAGGAGUAUGUAAGCAGACUUUUUAGAUAAUAGCAGGUUAGCUUGAGUUUCUUGACAAGUGUGGUUUCUUACUGGUUAGGUGCACUGUAGAAUCUGGAACAGACACCUGAACGUUCUUUAGGUGACUUUUAGGGAUGUUUUAGCUCCCCUGCCACCUGGGGCCCACAGGGAGACACCCAGGGACGAGAUCUCUCUGAGCCUUGAAGACAUUUGCAGCCCAGCCCUCCCUGCUCCUUCCUGCUUGUCUAAAACUUCGCAAUUCUGUGAGAUCAUAGACAAAUUGCAUCUCUUCUGUGAAGGCUGCUCUCACCUUACUAAACAACAAUUAUCUCUUACUUUUCUCAAUUCAAAUAACGUUAUUGUCGGUACCACUCAUUUGGCCCUUAGUAAAUGCUGUCAAUUUUUAUUGAUUGAUUGAUUGAGAUGGCACAAUCUCGGCUCACUGCAACCUCCACCUCCUGGGUUCAAGCGAUUCUCCGACCUCAGCCUCCCGAGUAGCUGAGACUACAGGCGUGCACCACCAUGCCCAGCUAAUUUUUGUAUUUUUAGUAGAGACGGGGUUUGACCAUGUUGGCCAGGAUGGUCUCAAUCUUUUGACCUCCUGAUCUGCCCACUUCAGUCUCCCAAAGUGCUGGGAUUACAGGCAUGAGCCAUCGUGCCUGGCUGAUGCUGUCAAUUUUAAAUUAAUUGGCAGAUAACCACUUGCUAAUUUUUAAUUAAGCUAAUUGAAAACAGGUUCUUCAAUGAGAACACUUGGACACAGGAAGGGGAACAUCACACAUCGGGGCCUGUCA
This 4046-nucleotide long non-coding RNA is filed under the name Homo sapiens (human). RNAcentral describes it as "HSALNT0198636". Lineage: Eukaryota; Metazoa; Chordata; Mammalia; Primates; Hominidae. The record is from RNAcentral.